UUGGAACCAGAAGACACUCGUGGAGGCGU
This 29-nucleotide non-coding RNA is filed under the name Homo sapiens (human). The record is from RNAcentral. Lineage: Eukaryota; Metazoa; Chordata; Mammalia; Primates; Hominidae.